This 324-nucleotide ribosomal RNA is filed under the name uncultured eukaryote. Its description in RNAcentral is "partial 18S ribosomal RNA". It matches the Rfam family "Eukaryotic small subunit ribosomal RNA", at positions 1470 to 1796 of the family's 1831-position model. The record is from RNAcentral.
CCCUUAGAUGUCCUGGGCUGCACGCGCGCUACACUGAUGUGUCCAGUAAGCACCUAACCUCUUCCGAAAGGAACGGGUAACCUUUGCAAAGCACAUCGUGAUGGGGAUAGAUUAUUGCAAUUAUUAGUCUUGAACGAGGAAUUCCUAGUAAGCACAAGUCAUCAGCUUGUGUUGAUUACGUCCCUGCCCUUUGUACACACCGCCCGUCGCUCCUGCCGAUUGAAUGUUCCGGUGAGCUCUUCGGACUGCGCGGUCUGCAGUUUCUGCGUUCCGUGCGGAAAGUUGCGCAAACCUUAACAUUUAGAGGAAGGAGAAGUCGUAACA